Molecule: long non-coding RNA, 3472 nt
Filed under: Bemisia tabaci
Lineage: Eukaryota; Metazoa; Arthropoda; Insecta; Hemiptera; Aleyrodidae
Description: lncRNA ENSSSA3NGG002349
Source: RNAcentral
AUGGAGUCCCGGAACUACAACUACGACCCCGCGUACCCCUCUUACGCGCAGCCCGUGAACCCAAGCGGCUCCGGCGAAGAAGCGUACCACCCGUUCGCGACCAUCACCCGCGAAUCCGGGUGGUACCAGGACCCAACCUACCCCACGCUAACGACCGCCAAGACACCCCGCCUCCGCAGUUCCCGGUACCACCCCACCGCUGGCGCCUGCCGCUCUGGUACCGCGCCCGCCUCCGCGGCUACCCCAAAGACGAGCCAUUCUACGACUACCUCGAGGACGAGGAACUCCAGCGCUGGUCCCAGCCCACCGCCCCGCCUCCAGCGUGAGCCCAAUCCGCCCCGAGUUCCACCGGUACCACGGGGCGGAGGAGGCUACGACUACAGCCCCUCCUACGACUUCGCGCACGUUCACGAACACGGCGGCCACACUGAGACCACGAGCAAGUUCGACUUCUCGAAGAUCGGGCUUCUCCUCUUGUUGAAACUAGCCAUCGCGAAGCUCAAAGCCCUCGGUGCGCUCCAGAUCCUGUUGCUCCUUCUUCUCAAGGCCAAGCUCCUCUUGGCGAUGAUGGCCCUGAAGUUCUUCAUGGUCCUCAAGGCGAUGAAGCUGCUCAAGUACCUGAUCGCGCCGCUGCUGCUUUCGUCGUUGUUGCCGCUCCUCAUGAUGAUUCCGAUGAGUUUGUUGUCGGCGCUGCUGCCGCUUCUCAUGAACCUCACCCCGAUGCAGCCGGAUGAUCCGGACCCGCCGGAAGACCUACCGGAUCCCCCGGACGAGCCGGAAGAAAUGCCGGAGACGCCGGAAUCUGGUGGGAGGCGCAAGAGACGGAAGCAUCAUAGAAGUCGCGCCUUAGGCGAGAUUCAAAGGCUUCUGCGGUCUGAGGAUUGCCUCCAGAGGAUGGCCUGCGAGCUGGCUGCCAAGAAACAGUUGGCCAUCGUACCACUCAUCGUUGCUUGGAGUUUGAAGAAGCUUGCCAACAUGUUGCCAAUCCCCAUUGUGAAAGAGUACGCAAAAGCUUACACUAAUGGCCGUCAGAUGAACCCGUCUUCGUCAGGAUGUUCAUCUGAAUAUAGAUGCAAUUACCUCAAGAAACGAAGUUGAAUAGAGACAUACAUGAACCAUGUUUUCCUAUGAGAAAAUAAAUUAUUUACGAGUGUGCAAAAUUAAUAAGUUCUCGAAAGGGUAGAGUAUUAUCAUACGGCAGAAUUGAAGUGACAUUUGUGUCAAAAUGUUAGUAUUAAUAUCAGGUUUAUAAAAUACUUUAUGCAUGUGAAUUCCUGCAUGGUUGCGAUGGAAUCACCAAUUUUGCUGAAUGAUUAAGGCAUACAACUUUACUAAAGAAUCUAAGUAUCACUCUGUUUGCUGAAGAAGACUGUCCGAUUCUUAUGCAGAAUUAUGAUUCUGAGGCAGAAUUUAUAGUCAUUUUGUGAUCCGAACAUGGUAAACGUAGUCACCAUAAUUAUUUUAUUUUUUUCUCUCUCUUAUUAAUUGAUUGUAGCUCAUAGUCCUGGACUGGAGGGAAUAGGAAUUUGCCAUUGAGACAAGUUUAAGAUACACUAAUGUGCGGUUAUUUUUAACACAUUUACGGCCAAAAUCCCUUCAGCAAUUAAUGGAUGGCUUUCCGUCUAAGAUGUAAAUUUAUAUCAUACCGAAAUGUGCGUUUGAGCUAUUCUCGUGGACUUAAUGAAGGUUCUUGUGAUGCAAUUGUAGUUGCUUUUUACUUCUUCUUUGGAGUGAGGAUUUAAAUUUACAUUAAAUUGUAGAUUUGUAAAGAUUUCCUCAGAUUAAAUAUCGAAUUUCCCUAUUGCAUUACGUGUCACACCAUUAUGAUGUUUUGCACACACCAAACGAAUUUGAGUUAAUGCUCCGAUGCACACCUUCACUAAAUAUUCCGGUUCCACUGAUGUACAAAUAGUGUGCGCUUCCACAUAGCUCCUACACAUUGUAAUAUAGAAAAUAAUACAUUUUUUACAGAUAUGCCUCGAAUCGUCACUAAGUGCAGUUUCAUUGAUCUUGAGAAAACAUGUUAAUAAUAGUAUAAUAACGUUGCACAAAAAAGGAUAUUUAUCUUUAACGAAUGUAAAAAGUAAAAUUUGGUAGAAAAAAUGUUAGAAAUAAAAAAUGUGUGUUUCCGUCGGUAUUAUUUGAGAAAAUAAAGGUAAGGUGACAAAACAUACCAAAAUGAAGCCUUGAAUUACAUAGUGUAAGUCAGCCACAAACUAAACCAGCGUACCAAAUUGAAGUAAUCAGGACCUUUUAGAAAACUGAGGAUAGCUCUUUUCAUUGAUUGUAUGCUUCCUAAUCUAUUCGAGAGGUAUGGGAAACACAUACGUACUUGGGGCAGUCAUAGUAAUUGGAAACUUUCGUUGAUGAACCUGAAAAGAACGAAAUUGAACCAAUGACAAUUUCACAGUUACUGUUUAAUUAAAAAAUCCUGAUGUUUUUUCUAACUUUGUUUUAAUAAAACGGGUCUUCUAAAUGGAACACUGUAUAAUAAAUAUUUCCGUGUGUAAUUCCUCAUUAUAAAACUAUCCUCUGUCAAAUACUUGCGUGAGAGAAAUGACUUAAGUUUCGUCACAAAAAAGACGCACUAUUCUGUGAAAUAAGGAAAAUGAAUGGACUGUAGCUUGAAAUAUAAUAAAUCUCGUUUAAUUUAUAUCUCUGCCGAUGCAAGGAACGUUACUGAAAUAAUAAAUUCCUGUAGAUUCAUUUAUGAAACUUUGCGACUCACUUGUCAAAGAAAAUGCUCGAAAAAACUUAUCUCUUAAAUAUAUGAGAAUUUAUUGUCGAUCGAAUUUCAGCUUCUGCCCUAUCGCGUCCGGAAUGCAACUAUUCGUGUUCGUGGUCUGCGCGUGUUGCAUACACAAAAAAUGAAGGCACCCUGACAUCGUCAGGCGUACAGCACAGCGUGAAGAUUUUCUCAGCUUAUUUUUAUUUUAUACUAACGCCGAGAUAAAUGAAGAUUUUAGAUAACUUCCAUAGUUUUUUUCGACUAAAAUAAUGUAAUGGCAGGCAAGAGACAAUAUUUACAGAUCAUGGCUGACGGAAAUCGAGAUAACUGGUUUGAUAGAUUCACCACCGAUCUAUAUCCAUAGAGUCGAUGCUUUUGAAGGACCUUCGAGGGCUGUAGUUCUUACUUUGUCUCCGGUUUAUUUCAAGACACUUAAAAUGCAACCAACCGCUCUUGUUAUUUUUAUCAAUUGUACUAAGUUUAAGUCAAAUCGAUGAAAGUGUUUCAAUGCAUGGUCUAAUUCUUAGGAAUGUAUAGUUAAGUAAUUAAUUGUUCCAGUUAUGUUGAGAAUAAAAUGUCUUUAUUUCAAAUGAACAAGUAUCUGUGUGUUAUUGAAAUAGAUUUAUCAUGCUAACGUACAUCUGAUGAGCAUUGCAAAUACCUUUAAAUAGUAUCUACACUUUUCUCGAACCUUGAACACCUCAAAACUUCAGAAAAGUGUGGUUUACCCAACCUGUUACGGUA